AUAUAAAUCAUUGAACUAUAUACUCUGUAAUAAUUUUUUUAAGAGACUUGCCAGACGGGUACGUUCAAUGGGGAAUAUUUAGCUCGAAUUAUUAGCUAUCAGAUGCACCUUUCACCGUCCGAAUCGAUUGAAAUAUAAAGGUUCUGGAAAUUUUUUUGUAAAAAAUACGUUAGUUCGUCUGUGCCAAUUUUCUUUUAUAAUUUUUAAACUAUAAUUCGUAGUUAUAUACUUACAAUGGGAAAAAUUUAGCAUAAUUAGUACUCUAUUUAAAUUGACCUCUCCGAAGAAAAUCGAAAUCGCAUUAAUCCCGUGCCGAGAGGUUAUAUUUAAUAAAAAUUAGGGAGUCACGUCGAUAUUUAGAUCCCCGUCGCGAAUGUAGUUCAUUCUACGACGGUGGCGCCACGUUAUUUCCAGGUUCCAUUGCGAUCACGUUUCGUCUUGGGUGAAGUUUAGUAAAUUUUUCAUUUACGUUCAUCGGUCCAUUUAUAUUGUUUUUAAUUGUUUAUUUUAUUGAUUUCGAAGACAUUCUUCCACCUCGUGGAAUUGGGAUCUUCGUGGGAUCAUUUUACCCUUUUUUAUCGUUUAUAAUUUAUCUUGUAAGUGACAAAUUCCUAGCAAAUGUACUACAAUGAAAUUAAAAAAUCUUUUGUUAAUAGGAUUUCAGGUUACCUUCAGUUCGGCAUCGGUAUGGGGCCACCGAAGAAGUUGAAGGAGGCGGCUCUGAGUUCCCGUAAUGCUAAAAUUCUUAAGACUAGAAUAGAAAGAAUAGAGCAUUCGGUUUAUUGGUUUAUUAGCCCCCUAACCUAAGCUAACUAACUAACAUCCAAACACUAUCUUUACUCGAACGAGCGGAGAAAGCGGAACUAUCAGCGGAAAUGACCUAAACAAAACACCCUAUUCGAAGAAUGAGCUGAAAGGGAACUAUGUUGUUGUUAGGGAAGUAUUAUACACUACGUGUACACCCCUCAACGCAGUACGCCGUGGUACACGUCAGGGAAUACUCCCCAAUGGAAGUUGCGCUAAAAAGCACUACUUCCUAAGAAAAUAGGAACCGCCGCAACGUUCAAAUGAACCUACGCGGUUGAAAUGUGGUAUUAUUUGAACGGUUAUAUUGGGCAUGCGCCGAUACAGAAGAUGUAUUUUUUUCAAAUGGCGCCAUCUAUACAACUGUCACGGGAACUGUCAAAAAAUCUGGGACAUUACUAUUUUAUGUAAAAAACACCAUUUUUAAGGAAAUUUAACGUGUUUUAUCGUUGUUAUGAAAAUGUCAUCGUAAACAAACCUACAUUUGCACAAUUUCGAGUAAUCGACUUGAUGUCGACCAAAAAUUCAUGCCGAUGUGCAUGUUGCUACGUAGCAUAAAGACAUUUACGAUAGAAAUGGUAUGAAAAUUUAUUAUUGAUGUAACAAAUUAUCCGUGUUCUUCAAGAAGAAGUCCUAUAGGAGGUUAUUCAUCAGUUUAUAUUCCGGUUAGAGCAAAAAGUAUGUCCAAGAUUCUAGCGGAAACGAAAGCAUUUCGUCACAUGAAAUAUUCAUGCUUAGGAAGGUAGCGAAGGAUUAGUUUUAGUUCGUUACCUUCCACUUUUAUUUCUACAUGUCCACAUAGUCUACUAGUAUUAAAGCGACCACCUAUUACCACUUGGUCCAAACAGCGAACUACGAUAUCAUUAUAAAAAGGUAUAAAAGCUCGUACUUCAAAUAUACUUAUUACCAUUGAAGGACACGAUACUGUAAUAUACAGCACCUUAAGUUAUCCAAUACUUGCUUGAGGAUGAAGUCCAUUUGUAAAGAAUCUCCUAUGGAAAGGCACGUGAAUUACUACCUACGAAACACUAUAGGUUCCAACAAAAUUGUAAAAACUUCUUUGUCUUAAAAUUUUUAUGCUUUCCUGUACAUAUUAUAAGGAUUGUGUUAGAUAUCGUGAACAAUUUUAAAAAUCAUCAUAUUUCCAUGCCUAAUACAUUCAUAAACAACAAAUAAAAUAAGGAAUACUACACAAACUCCUCACGACCACUCAAAAUGAUCCAAUUAUUUUCAUGGAUUUCUAUUAUAGCAUGUAAACUCUGUACGUGGAGAAAUCGUAAAGAAAAUUCUCCCGAUGAGGAUGAACCUGUUCUACAGGAGGCUAAAACAACCCCGAGUGUACAAACAGGCUGAGUAGAAAAAUCACUUUGUAUAGGUGUUGUUUCCACAAAAAAAAACAAAAAUAUUACUCACACAUUCAAAAAAAUUA
Photinus pyralis (common eastern firefly) is the source of this 2233-nucleotide long non-coding RNA. RefSeq lists it as uncharacterized. The transcript is spliced from 3 exons. NCBI's taxonomy places the organism in Eukaryota, Metazoa, Arthropoda, Insecta, Coleoptera, Lampyridae. The record is from RefSeq and is a predicted model, not a curated record.